GACGAACGCUGGCGGCGUGCUUAACACAUGCAAGUCGAACGGAAAGGCCCUGCUUUUGUGGGGUGCUCGAGUGGCGAACGGGUGAGCAACACGUGAGUAACCUGCCCUUGACUUUGGGAUAACUUCAGGAAACUGGGGCUAAUACCGGAUAGGAGCUCCUGCUGCAUGGUGGGGGUUGGAAAGUUUCGGCGGUUGGGGAUGGACUCGCGGCUUAUCAGCUUGUUGGUGGGGUAGUGGCUUACCAAGGCUUUGACGCGUAGCCGGCCUGAGAGGGUGACCGGCCACGUUGGGCCUGGGAUACGGCCCAGACUCCUACGGGAGGCAGCAGUGGGGAAUAUUGCACAAUGGGCGGAAGCCUGAUGCAGCAACGCCGCGUGCGGGAUGACGGCCUUCGGGUUGUAAACCGCAUUCGCCUGUGACGAAGCGUGAGUGACGGUAAUGGGUAAAGAAGCACCGGCUAACUACGUG
Molecule: ribosomal RNA, 468 nt
Filed under: uncultured bacterium
Lineage: Bacteria
Description: partial 16S ribosomal RNA
Rfam family: Bacterial small subunit ribosomal RNA
Source: RNAcentral